Long non-coding RNA from Manduca sexta (tobacco hornworm), 1351 nucleotides. RefSeq lists it as uncharacterized. The record is from RefSeq and is a predicted model, not a curated record. NCBI's taxonomy places the organism in Eukaryota, Metazoa, Arthropoda, Insecta, Lepidoptera, Sphingidae. The transcript has 2 exons.
CGGUGUGGUUGCAGGUGAACUGCAUCGAACCGCACCCGCGGUUCCCGAUCCUGGCCACGAGCGGCCUCGACAAGGACGUGAAGAUCUGGGCGCCGUACAACCACAAGGACCCCACCUACAACAAGCUGAGUAAGGUGAUCCGCGAGAACAGCGCGUCGCAGCUCCACAGCCCGUUGUUCAACGACUUCCUGCCGACGCUGUACUCGGCGUGGCGCGGCGAGAACCGCCUCUACGACGACGAAGAUCUGCCACACACCGGCAAUAUCGAAUUUGACGGCAACAUUUGCACCACUUUCUAAAUUAUAUCGGACUUCUAAGAAAUAAUGCCAGUAGUUAGUACAGAAUUCGACGGAAUUUACACCUUUCAAACACGCCGGAAAAUGUACAAAAAACACACAGCGCAUAAGUCGAGUAGGGUUUUCAUGAUUCUAAAUCCAGAUGUAAUAUGAAAAUCAGGUAUACUAGCAUCUAACUAGUAUUACAGGGUAUUGAUUUCGACGGAAACAUUAGUGCCACAUAUGACAUUACACACAUAUACGUAUAACAUCUAACAGUAUGUAUAACUGCAUGGUCAAUGUUAUCCAAUGUCUAAGAUACUGACUGUUGGCUAGUGUCAAAGUUCUUGAGCCUAAUUCUAUGGAGUAUGGAAAAUGUUGGCAUGUCUAGUUAGAAUCGCGUAUAAAACUGCAGUAUGUAUGGUGUAGUGUUCUCGUGGUGUGAGGAUUUCAGCUUGUCAAUUCAUCAAAUUAAAUGAUAAUUGGAGCUCAUAGGGUACAAAUUAAAUUGACCUAUUUUACCCAACUGUAAGUAUAAUGAUAGGUUUGGCAACAAUAUCAAAAACUAAGCCCAGAUCUAUUCUCUUCAGGCUGAUUUAGUAUUCAUUACGUUUUGGGAAUUCAUUCAACUUGGACGCUAGAUGAAAUGUACCGACUAGCUGAUUAGAUGUAAAUGGAAACCCAGGUUAAAUACACAACUGGUACAUACACAGACGCCUUUCUAACGUUGUAUAUACGUGUAACGGCUUUGUCUUGCUUCUUGAGUGAGACUUGAGAAGUAAAAUGAAACAUUGUAUUUAUAGACAUGAUCAUUAGUAAGGCCUUCGGUGAAAUAAAAGCGUGCCUACACUUGGAAGAAGUAGUGGUCAUCAUGCCAUGAGGAUUGAUUAUGAUUAUAUAUAUUUAUGGUGGCAAAAAGCAAGUUUACCAUCUUAGGCCAUUUUUGAAAUAUUAAAAUACUCUAUGAUUUUAAGUUUUUAUAUCAUACAAUGAUACAGUUAUUAAUAUACAUUUCUAGAUGUUUUUAUCUCUCUCAAGUGUACUAUUAGCUGGAAUACAUAUCCUAAAACACGAUA